This 114-nucleotide non-coding RNA is filed under the name Providencia burhodogranariea. RNAcentral's name for it is "TPP sequence". It matches the Rfam family "TPP riboswitch aptamer (THI element)". Rfam says of the family: Vitamin B(1) in its active form thiamin pyrophosphate (TPP) is an essential coenzyme that is synthesised by coupling of pyrimidine and thiazole moieties in bacteria. The previously detected thiamin-regulatory element, thi box was extended, resulting in a new, highly conserved RNA secondary structure, the THI element, which is widely distributed in eubacteria and also occurs in some archaea. Lineage: Bacteria; Pseudomonadati; Pseudomonadota; Gammaproteobacteria; Enterobacterales; Morganellaceae. The record is from RNAcentral.
CCCCUCUUGUCGGAGUGCCGAGUAUGUAAAAACAUACCGGCUGAGACCGUUAAUUCGGGAUCCGCGGAACCUGAUCGGGUUAAUACCUGCGAAGGGAACAAGAGUAAUCAUUCA